AGUGGGUCCGGCGGCGGGACGGCGGGUUUGGAUGAGGUACUGGGAGGGAGCUCUUCGCUGUGAGGCACUGGCACAGGUUGCUCAGAGAAGCUGUGGAUGCCCCAUCCUUGGGAAUGUUCAAGUCUGGCUUGCCUGGAGCUCUGAGCAGUCUGGUCCAGUGGAAAGGUGUCCCUGCCCAUGGCAGGGCUUUGGAACUGGGUGAUCUUUAAGGUCCCUUCCAACCCAAGCCGUUCUGCGAUUCUAUGAUCCUGCUGUAAGGCGCUGCUCCGCUUAGUUUGCCUUUCCGGGCUCGGCCUGGCUGUGCCGAGGAGCAGGGAAGGGGUCGGUGGGGUUUGGGCGCGGGGCAGUGUCUGGGUGCGCUGUGGUGGCUCCUGGGCUGGAGGGUGCAGGUUUCUCACCAGCGUUCUCGUCUUCUAAAAGUAGUAUUAGAUUUAGGACCUCUGCUGCCUGUCUCCUAACAGGAGCUGUUAUAAAUUUAACACAGAAAGGCCGUAAUCUUGCUAACCUGUAGUUCAUUUUUAGUUUCAACAGGUGAUUUGAGCAGUCGUUUAUGGCAUCAUUUUUCUCAUGCAGGACCCUCACUUCUUUCAGAUAGUCGUAAAAUCUGCAGACAUCCCUAGGACUGGAAUCUGAAUCUGGAUGUUGUUGCUCCCCAGACUUUGGAUAAGACACUUGAAAUCAUGAAGUGGAUUUUAACUCUUCUGUUUAUUGUCUUUUCACAGAUUCAUAGAAUAUUUGGAGUUGGAAGGGAUCCACAAGGAUCCUCGAGUCCAACUCUUAAAUAAAUGGCCUGUAUGGGAAUUGCACCCACCACCUUGGUGUUACCAGAGCCAUGUUCUAACCAACUGCAACUACAGAAAAUUAGUUGUUUGUAGUUAUUUAACUACAAAUACCAAUGUGCUCUGUCAAUGAACCCGCACAUCACUGUUGGGACAUCACAACAUCCCAGCUGUGUGCUGCUCUGCUUGAGGAUUUUGAAGCCCAGAUUGCCCUGUCUGGUGGAAAUAUUUCUGGUGGAGAUAUAUAGGUACAAGCUCUGCCAUUUCACAAGCAGGAUCAAAAGUAAGAUCAGGAUACACCUGGCUCAAAUGCGUGAAACAGAUGUGGCAUGUCGAAUUUCGGGCUGUUCUAAAAUGGACCAAGAUGCCUCAAAAUAAAGAGUCCUUGCUGUUGUGACAUGAGCCCAAGCAUAAUUCUCAUGCCUCUCACUCCUGUGAAAGGAACACCUUGUUUGGAGAAGCAGCAUCUUAUUUGCUACUUGAGGAACCCUGCAGUGCUGACUUCUCUUCCAUAUUCCAAGGGAAAGGACAGAUAAGUCCAGUCUUUGCCUCUUAGCAUCUGUCACAUUUCCAGUAUUAGAACCCAGACAUUCACUGGGGAGAUAAAAACCACUAAGACUCAAUCAAGGUGUAAACAUCACAGGAAAAUCAGUUCAAAGCUGGAUCUAAAGGCUCAGCUCACCCUGUGGAAAAUGCUUGUGCCUUAAAGCUGGGUUCUGAGAUAAGGCAGCCUUUCUGCAAUGUGUGCAGUGUAGCACUAGAGUAGAAAGAUGCUGAGAAAAUCCAUUUAAAGGGUCAUGAUGUGGAUCAUGUCUCUGAAUGUGUUUAUUGUCACAUGACUGAGUAGAUCUUAAUGGAAAACCAUUGGAAAUCACACAUGCGGCUAAAAUAAACCUACCAGUGCCUCAUCUGUAGAGGUGCUUUUAUAUCACUUUAUAAAGUGCCUGGGAAGUGCACAGAAACAGCCGUCAGAGGAAACCUCAUCUCAGUGCCCAUCAUCUGGAACUGAGCAGAUAAGAAAUCUUCAUGUAGCUUGCUUGGCCUUACCAGGAUAUGGUUACAUGCCCACACAGUGAUUUUACCAGUCCUGUGACAUGUAGACCCUUUAGAGUUACUGGCUUCAGCUCCAUCACAACAUCCUUACAUGUGUUGGUGGCAUCUUGACUACUGAACCACGCUGGUGUACGUUGAAUUGGAGGGUCAGAGACUCCAGAAUUCAGCAGUAUUGGCAAUCUGAUGCUUGCUGUGUCAUCACAUUAAAAGGAAUAGGCAAUUUAAUAAGACUUGGUGACACUGGCCCAGAGAAGAGUUGAAGGAGCAUAUGGAAAAUUGCAGAACUUCUACAGCCCUUUUGUCUUCAUUUUGGGAUCAAGUAUUCAAAACCAGACAUCAGUUGAGUGGACAUCACAAACAAAUCCAUCAUGAAGAAACAACAAACCUACAAUGAAAGGCAGGAAGAGAAUAAAGAAGCCUGAAGAUAAUCCUGUGUGUUUCAACACAAAAGCAACUUGAAAGAAGGAUUCAGGCUAAUUUAAAUGCAGUACCUCCAGUAGGUAUGAUCUGUAUCAUAGCAAAACUUGCUAUUUUCUUUCUUCAUUGUAUAAUAUUUGGUAAUCUGGCACAUUUAUUUGCUGAUUUAUUUACAUAUCUUUGUAAGACAGUUGCCGUUAACCUGAACAAAAAUAAGGUACUCUUUUCAAACAGCUGCCUUCUUCUUGGUUUGGAAUAGUACCAGUCUUUGGAACAAAUUAUGCAGGUGCUGAUCAAAAGAUGCAGCUAAAGGUUUUCUGUUAUAGUUUGUUACAAGCUUGUACAAGUUUGUUACAAAGUAGAGCCACUGAAACAGGCUCUUUCAGGAGCCAAGAGAGAUGCUGUGAGACUUCUUGGAAUCCGGCGAGUUAACUAGGUGGAAAAACAAAAAAAAAAGCUUUCUUUGUAGUCACGGCUGAAUUUUUAGGAGGAGUGUUAACUGAAGCACCAAUUUUAUCAGUUAGCAUAAAAUUCUACUUAUCUGCACUUGUAAGAGUUAACACCAAGACUUUCCCUGACCUCAAGUGCAUCCUUUCUUCCAAACAGAAUUUGAGAAGGCAUUUGAUGCAUUCCUGUUAUUCAGAAAAGAUCUCUUUUUCUUUGAUAAAGAAGAUAAUCUCUGGUAGCCACCUGUCCAUAAGUUGACAUUACAAAAUAUUCUGAUAACUUUUCUAAUAUUUAGGUAGAGAAGCUUGUGUACAUCUCUUUCUCUAAGUUUCUUCUAAGUAUGUGCAUUUGGUUUGGGAUGUGUUCUCUUUUUGUUGGUCUUUAUGGCCAUACAUAUGACUGUUACAUUGUCAGAAAACAUUUUUACAAUCGUUUAACUAGAGAAAUAACUUUCUGACUUUCACAGUUGUGUGUCAUAAAUUAAUUCAAAUUGUCAAAGUUUUUUUCCCCAAAUGGCUUCUUUAUCCUGCUGUUUUCUAGGACUUACAUAAUUGUUUAUACUGAAUCUGGCUUUUCUCGUUUGGAGUUGUUGUCACUCACAUGGAAAGAAAUAAAUACAUGUUUUAGUAGCUUGCUGACAUUGGUAUUAUAAAAAGAAAGCAAAAAUGGAAUUUGGGUUUGGUUAGUCAAAGGUCUAAUUGCUUGAAGUGAGCUAGAGCAUUUUUGUUAAUAAGUAGGGAGCAGACCAAUAUGCUGAUGAUGUACCUUGCACAUAGGCAUCUUUUGGGCUUUUUUUAAAUGAAGCAGUCAGUUAACAAAAGUUGUCUCUGUUUGAAGUUGCAGAAGUGUAAGGUUAAGCACUUUACAUCGUUACAUCAUUACAAUGGUUACUUGUGAACCAGUGGGGUAUGACAAUCCAGAUUUUAUCUUAGGUUUCGUAGGAAAUCUGUCAUCUGAUGUACACACUGCAUCUCUGUUUUGAAAGAAAAAGGAGCAUUUAUGGACUGUCUGGAGCUCUUCCUGGAAACGCGAAGAUUAAAAACUUGAACUUUUCAUACCUAGUUCUGACUCGAGCUUUGCUUGACUUCUGUACAGCAAAACAAACUUCAUGUCAACACUGUUCCUUUCUUACAGCCCCCUGAGGUGCAAACUCAUAAAACUGGCAUUAGCCAUAGUCCCAGCCUGCAGCUGUCUCUUAAUUCUUUCUGCUAAAGGCCUUGUCCCCACAGCAGAACAGGAUCUGGUGGUGAUCACAGCCAGCUCGGUGGUGUGUCCUGCAGCACAGAUGGAAUAGCUGAUGGCAGAAGGGCAUAAGGGUAACCCUGCUGUGCUGACUGUGGCUCUGUGAGCAUGGGCUGUGCCCUGCACAGAGCUCCAGAGUGCCAGAGCAAGCUGCCUCAUUUUCUCUUCGUACCACAAUUGUCUCUCUUUAUGCCCAUAUUAACAGACACACAUGGGAAGUAUAUUUUAGAGUCUAUGGAUACUGUAAAACUUCAAGGAAUUCCUUUAAAAUGAGGAAGAUCUGCUGUCAGGUGGUUACCAGCAAAGUGUUGGUAGCAGGUCCUGGAAAUCCAGCUGUUUUCCUGGGCGUCCUGUGGCGCUUUGUUUGUUUUCCACCGUGAGGGGGCAGCAGAUGAACAACAUCACGCGGGCUGUUUGUUACCUUUCAAACGCUUUUCCAGUGUCCCUCUCUGCCUGUGAAUCCCAGCAGGGGCUUCAUACCAAUGGGAGAGUUUAAAAUUAUGAUUCCUACCUGGAAUGUACAGGAAUGAUUCCUGUAGCUGGAAUGUAUGAAUUUGAAGUCUUCAUUCUUUUCAGUAUUAAGCAGUAGAAUUUAUUUAGUAAAAUCUAUCUCAAGUUUAUAAAAAGGGCAGUUCUAUAUUGAGACUUAAGAUUUUUAUGACUAUGGCAUUAGGUGUGUAUAUAUUUUAAAGGAUAAAAUAACUAAGCAUCCCAACCCCAUGUGCUUAUUAGUUAAUGUCACCUAAGUUUUACUUAACAUCUUUCAAAUAUUUAUUUUCUAUAUUUCAAAUUGCAUAUUACAAUUAAAGAUAAUGUUCUCACAGCCAUUCUUCUCCCAUCAGAAAAUAAAACUGAGAAUACACUAAA
Long non-coding RNA from Corvus hawaiiensis (hawaiian crow), 4805 nucleotides. RefSeq lists it as uncharacterized. The transcript has 5 exons. The record is from RefSeq and is a predicted model, not a curated record. Lineage: Eukaryota; Metazoa; Chordata; Aves; Passeriformes; Corvidae.